Molecule: long non-coding RNA, 303 nt
Organism: Syngnathus acus (greater pipefish)
Lineage: Eukaryota; Metazoa; Chordata; Actinopteri; Syngnathiformes; Syngnathidae
Exons: 3
Source: RefSeq, a predicted model, not a curated record
AGCAUCCAGGGAAACAGACAGGAACUAGCAAACUAAUGACAUGACUGAAUGACUAACCGAAACAGACUUGAAAACGACAGGAACCAAAAGACAUGAAGACAUCAAACGACAACAAUGAUCCGACGGGGCGUGAGGGGCAGACAGGAUUUAUAUACACGACAGGUAACAAGAGGCAGGUGAGAAUAAUCAAACUAAUCAUGGGGGACACAGGAGGGGAGGGGCGAGCACACAGACAGAAACCGUGACAACAGACACAUAGUGGAACGGCUGGGGACAAGACGUGACAUGACUCCCUGCAUUUAA